CAAGAGGAGAAACGCCUCCAAAGCUGUUGAUGCUUCACAGAGAAAAACAAUCCAACUCAAAUCUAGUCAAUGAUUACAAAUCAACCAAGUGACUGUAUAACAGACAAACAUUAUGAUCUGUUUCAUGGUCAGACCAUGUUCUUCAUGCUCAAAGUCCACAGGAAUCUACUUCCUUGUUGUAUUCAGAACCUUCAUUUGGAGUUGCUGGAACUUCAGGGACACAAAGCUGUUCAGAGAAAGAACUAUAAGAAAGAGCAGAUGAAUUUCUGUCUGAACGUUUGAACAGAAUUCAGGAGGAUUUCCCAGUAUUUAUGGAUCGGAUUCAGACUUUCCUGCUGUCCUGCAGCUGAUGGGAGAUGACCGUUUUCUUUAUGAAAGCAGACUUUGACAGUUCACAGAUGAAGGUAGAAGGUGUGUGUGAGCUGAUCCAGUGAAUCCAGCAGCAUGGAUCAGUGUGAGAACACACAGGAGGGAGAUCCUCCCUCUAAAAACACUCUGUGUGAGGAAGAUGAGAGCCAGAGCAAAGCUCAGAGGAGUGACGACUCAGAAGAUUAUUUAACUGCAUUUAAAAACAGCCGUUCAAGAAUAAAACAGAUUCAUCAGAGUCUCCAAACUGGAUCUGGAUCUGAACCCAGCUGUGUGUCCUUCAGGAGUGACUGUUCAAAGAAUAAAAUAAUUGAUUUUAAAUCAGCAGCAUCUUCUUCUGCAGAGAGGUGAGUGGAUUAAACCAACGACAGCAGUUCAAAAGGGAAAUUGUGUUUGUCAAAUAUAUUUUAGUUUAAAUGUGAACAAAUACAUACACUAUGAUGAAUCACAUACAGUUUCCUACAAUGGCAGACACUAAAUUCAGGACACAUUGUUUUUCCAAGGGGACAUUUUUACAGACUGUCU
RNAcentral lists this long non-coding RNA (891 nucleotides) under Oryzias javanicus (javanese ricefish). RNAcentral's name for it is "lncRNA (ENSOJAG00000008226.1)". Lineage: Eukaryota; Metazoa; Chordata; Actinopteri; Beloniformes; Adrianichthyidae. The record is from RNAcentral.